AUUUUUAUUUAGCCAAAUCCCUUUCUCUCUCCCACCCUACCCGAUCCAUACUUUCCUUUCUCCCUCUCUCUCGUAUGCUCUCUGCUAGUCCCGAACGGCUGCCCUUCGAUGGUCGCCGUCGUGCAGACAUCAGAUCAGGAGUACCAGACACCGCCGAAACUCCAGCCUCGCGAGCCCUUCAUUGCCGUUCUCCGCCACGAGCAGAAGCCUCCAGGCUCGUACGUCGCUGUCGUGGCUUCAAGGCCAGUUUCUGGCCUCCUUCGACAUCGUCUAAGGCGAAAGGUAGCAUGGGUGAACUCAGGGUAUCAAGACGAACAAAGCCCAGCCAAGGAUCGGGCUUUUAAGUGACCGGAGGAUCGGGCUAAAAUAUUGAUAAGGUUGUUCGUGAGCAUAACCCGAAAGGUAGAGAUGUUGAACUAUUUCGCUGGCAUCUAUAUGGUGAUGGUAAAUUGGUGAUAUUGCUCACUUUUAUAUGAGUCAGUUACCUGGCUACCACCUGAAUCAUAUUAUUAUGUGCUUAUUUUUAAUCAGAUCUGUGAAUGUUAAUGCUCUGCUCUUAUACUAUCCAAUUUGUAAUCAUGUAUGUUUUCAAGGGAAUUUCCUUUUAUUAUUUUGUUCUUUGUUGUCAUUUUAAAAUGGGUACACAACUUAUGUUUAUACAUAUGUUUUCAAUGUUUGAUAAAGCCAACUAUUACCUCAUGCUGCAUCAAUUGUACGCCUCAUCUCAGUCUACUUUACGAAGUGUGCCUUUCCAGAAUUGAGGACCAAGAUAUAUUCAAUUAGGAAGAUAUUGUUGCUAUCCAUGGGUGUUGGGAUCAAGGAAUAUCACAGGGCUGACUUUUAGGUGGAUGUCUAGAUUUAUUAAGAAGAAUAUUAACAAAAGAAACAUGAUUGAGCUUGUAGUGAUUUGGAGAAGAGAAUUAUAUUGUCUUGUUGAGAUUUAUUGUAUUAUAUUUUUUUGAAGUUUAUAGAUUUAUAAUAUUAUAAUGAAUUUUUAUUGAGAAUUAUUUAGUCUCACGGGGAUUUUAUGUAUUUAUAUUUCAAUUGUAUGAAUAAAUGUUGUAUGUA
Humulus lupulus (European hop) is the source of this 1068-nucleotide long non-coding RNA. RefSeq lists it as uncharacterized. Lineage: Eukaryota; Viridiplantae; Streptophyta; Magnoliopsida; Rosales; Cannabaceae. The transcript is spliced from 2 exons. The record is from RefSeq and is a predicted model, not a curated record.